RNAcentral lists this ribosomal RNA (548 nucleotides) under uncultured Glomeromycotina. RNAcentral's name for it is "SSU rRNA". It matches the Rfam family "Eukaryotic small subunit ribosomal RNA", at positions 548 to 1098 of the family's 1831-position model. Lineage: Eukaryota; Fungi; Glomeromycota. The record is from RNAcentral.
UUGGAGGGCAAGUCUGGUGCCAGCAGCCGCGGUAAUUCCAGCUCCAAUAGCGUAUAUUAAAGUUGUUGCAGUUAAAAAGCUCGUAGUUGAAUUUCGAGACCGGUUUACUGGUCGUGCUUUUGUACGUACUGGUAUUAUUGGUUUCUCCUUUCUGACGAACUAUAAUGCCAUUAAUUUGGUGUUAUAGGGAAUCAGGACUGUUACUUUGAAAAAAUUAGAGUGUUUAAAGCAGGCUCACGCUUGAAUACAUUAGCAUGGAAUAACGGAAUAGGACGUUUGAUUCUAUUUUGUUGGUUUCUAGGAUCGACGUAAUGAUUAAUAGGGAUAGUUGGGGGCAUUAGUAUUCAAUUGUCAGAGGUGAAAUUCUUGGAUUUAUUGAAGACUAACUACUGCGAAAGCAUUUGCCAAGGAUGUUUUCAUUAAUCAAGAACGAAAGUUAGGGGAUCGAAGACGAUCAGAUACCGUCGUAGUCUUAACCAUAAACUAUGCCGACUAGGGAUCGGAUGAUGUUAAUUUUUUAAUGACUCAUUCGGCGCCUUACGGGAAAC